RNAcentral lists this small RNA (62 nucleotides) under Microcebus murinus (gray mouse lemur). RNAcentral describes it as "Y RNA (ENSMICG00000044597.1)". Lineage: Eukaryota; Metazoa; Chordata; Mammalia; Primates; Cheirogaleidae. The record is from RNAcentral.
GGUUGUUUUGAUGGUAGUGGGUUAUCAGACAAUGCCCCACUGCUAAAUUUGACUGGCUUUAA